This 535-nucleotide ribosomal RNA is filed under the name Salmonella enterica. Its description in RNAcentral is "partial 23S ribosomal RNA". It matches the Rfam family "Bacterial large subunit ribosomal RNA", at positions 256 to 788 of the family's 2925-position model. Lineage: Bacteria; Pseudomonadati; Pseudomonadota; Gammaproteobacteria; Enterobacterales; Enterobacteriaceae. The record is from RNAcentral.
AAACGGAAAGAGCCCAAACCAAGAAGCUUGCUUCUUGGGGUUGUAGGACACUCUAUACGGAGUUACAAAAGAAAGUUAUAAAUGAAGCGGUCUGGAAAGGCCCGCCAAAGACGGUAACAGCCCGGUAGUUGAAAUGGCUUUCCCUCCAGAGUGGAUCCUGAGUACGGCGGAACACGUGAAAUUCCGUCGGAAUCCGGGAGGACCAUCUCCCAAGGCUAAAUACUCCCUAGUGACCGAUAGUGAACCAGUACCGUGAGGGAAAGGUGAAAAGCACCCCGGAAGGGGAGUGAAACAGUUCCUGAAACCGUGUGCCUACAAGUAGUUAGAGCCCGUUAAUGGGUGAUAGCGUGCCUUUUGUAGAAUGAACCGGCGAGUUACGAUUUGUUGCAAGGUUAAGCGGAAAAAGCGGAGCCGUAGCGAAAGCGAGUCUGAAUAGGGCGCAUAAGUAACAGGUCGUAGACCCGAAACCAGGUGAUCUACCCAUGUCCAGGAUGAAGGUAAGGUAAUACUUACUGGAGGUCCGAACCCACGCACG